Long non-coding RNA from Nerophis ophidion (straightnose pipefish), 763 nucleotides. RefSeq lists it as uncharacterized. The record is from RefSeq and is a predicted model, not a curated record. The transcript has 2 exons. Lineage: Eukaryota; Metazoa; Chordata; Actinopteri; Syngnathiformes; Syngnathidae.
AGAACAGGCAGUGACCAAGAAAGGUAUCGCCAAGUACAAAAUCAACCGCCCAAAGUACAAGAAAGGAGAACAUACAGUGAAAAAGAUACUGGCACCACGAACAUACCGGAAGUUUAUCAUUUUUCGUGCAUCUGUUACGUUCCACGUAGUGGUGGUUUGUUUUUGUGUUUUUUUCUUCUUUUGUUUGAACAGGUCACACUCAAUCAUGACCUCUGCUGCCAAUCAAACGGUUCCUGUUCCCAGCUGCUCCUCAUUUCAUCUGUUGAUCAGCCAGCCAAUCCCGGUCCACCAUUUAUCCUCCUGACCUGCUUAAAACCACCUGUUCACCACUGGAUUGAGAAAUUAUUUUUCUGACAUGCUGUGUUGAGUUUUGAGAGACGCUACUUUUUCUUUGGCGCUACUUUGUUUUGUAAUCAUUUUUUCUAAGCUUUUUGCUAAACUUGUGCCACCUGUUUUGUUGUCUUCCUUUUUGUUUGACCUUCCAACAUUUAAUAUGUUGACCAUCUGAAGGAUGCUGUCUGUUUUUUGGCCAGCAUAAUGAGAAGCCUCUACGAAGAACAGACAACCCACCAUCAAUGUGUGCCGCAUUUGAAAAACCCAACAAGCAGGAAGCCAUCCGGAAUCAUGGAAGUCAAUUCAGUACCACUUAACCCUUGUGUGGUGUUCAUAUUGUUGUUACUGAGCCAGUGUUUGUGGGUCUGAUGGACCCAUUGCAUUUUGUGACUUUUAAUGCCACACAAUAAAACAUUUUAUGUUAAAAUAA